GCGAGAAAACUUUGCAAUGUGCGAAAGCACGACAAGGUUAAUCCGAGUGGUUCCUGCUAAAGGAAUCUUUUGUUAGUUGUAACACCACUGAUGAAUAAGAGGUGGGCAAGUUCUGGUGUCAGCCGCCGCGGUAAAACCAGCACCUCAAGUGGUCAGGAGGAUUAUUGGGCCUAAAGCAUCCGUAGCCGGCUUUGUUAGUUUUCGGUUAAAUCUAUAUGCUUAACAUAUGGGCUGCCGGGAAUACUGCAAAGCUAGGGAGUGGGAGAGGUAGACGGUACUCCGUAGGAAGGGGUAAAAUCCUUUGAUCUAUGGAUGACCACCUGUGGCGAAGGCGGUCUACCAGAACACGUCCGACGGUGAGGGAUGAAAGCUGGGGGAGCAAACCGG
Molecule: ribosomal RNA, 387 nt
Filed under: uncultured Bacteriovoracaceae bacterium
Lineage: Bacteria; Pseudomonadati; Bdellovibrionota; Bacteriovoracia; Bacteriovoracales; Bacteriovoracaceae
Also listed under: 1 other name
Description: bacterial SSU rRNA
Rfam family: Archaeal small subunit ribosomal RNA
Source: RNAcentral